GUGCUCACUUUGGCAGCACUUACACUAAAACUGGAACAAUGCAGAGAAGACCAGCAUGGACUUGCAAGUUUGUGAAGUAUUCCAUAUUUUU
RNAcentral lists this small nuclear RNA (91 nucleotides) under Dasypus novemcinctus (nine-banded armadillo). Lineage: Eukaryota; Metazoa; Chordata; Mammalia; Cingulata; Dasypodidae. The record is from RNAcentral.